UGGACUCUUACGGACGGAGGGAGAAGU
Molecule: non-coding RNA, 27 nt
Filed under: Rattus norvegicus (Norway rat)
Lineage: Eukaryota; Metazoa; Chordata; Mammalia; Rodentia; Muridae
Source: RNAcentral